GUGCCUUUUGUAGAAUGAACCGGCGAGUUACGAUCCCGUGCGAGGUUAAGCUGAAGAGGCGGAGCCGCAGCGAAAGCGAGUCUGAAUAGGGCGUUUAGUACGUGGUCGUAGACCCGAAACCAGGUGAUCUACCCAUGUCCAGGGUGAAGUUCAGGUAACACUGAAUGGAGGCCCGAACCCACGCACGUUGAAAAGUGCGGGGAUGAGGUGUGGGUAGCGGAGAAAUUCCAAUCGAACCUGGAGAUAGCUGGUUCUCCCCGAAAUAGCUUUAGGGCUAGCCUUAAGUGUAAGAGUCUUGGAGGUAGAGCACUGAUUGGACUAGGGGUCCUCAUCGGAUUACCGAAUUCAGUCAAACUCCGAAUGCCAAUGACUUAUCCUUAGGAGUCAGACUGCGAGUGAUAAGAUCCGUAGUCAAAAGGGAAACAGCCCAGACCGCCAGCUAAGGUCCCAAAGUGUGUAUUAAGUGGAAAAGGAUGUGGAGUUGCUUAGACAACUAGGAUGUUGGCUUAGAAGCAGCCACCAUUUAAAGAGUGCGUAAUAGCUCACUAGUCGAGUGACUCUGCGCCGAAAAUGUACCGGGGCUAAAUACACCACCGAAGCUGCGGAUUGAUACCAAUGGUAUCAGUGGUAGGGGAGCGUUCUAAGGACAGUGAAGUCAGACCGGAAGGACUGGUGGAGUGCUUAGAAGUGAGAAUGCCGGUAUGAGUAGCGAAAGACGGGUGAGAAUCCCGUCCACCGAAUGCCUAAGGUUUCCUGAGGAAGGCUCGUCCGCUCAGGGUUAGUCAGGACCUAAGCCGAGGCCGACAGGCGUAGGCGAUGGACAACAGGUUGAUAUUCCUGUACCACCUCUUUAUCGUUUGAGCAAUGGAGGGACGCAGAAGGAUAGAAGAAGCGUGCGAUUGGUUGUGCACGUCCAAGCAGUUAGGCUGAUAAGUAGGCAAAUCCGCUUAUCGUGAAGGCUGAGCUGUGAUGGGGAAGCUCCUUAUGGAGCGAAGUCUUUGAUUCCCCGCUGCCAAGAAAAGCUUCUAGCGAGAUAAAAGGUGCCUGUACCGCAAACCGACACAGGUAGGCGAGGAGAGAAUCCUAAGGUGUGCGAGAGAACUCUGGUUAAGGAACUCGGCAAAAUGACCCCGUAACUUCGGGAGAAGGGGUGCUUUCUUAACGGAAAGCCGCAGUGAAUAGGCCCAAGCGACUGUUUAGCAAAAACACAGCUCUCUGCGAAGCCGUAAGGCGAAGUAUAGGGGGUGACACCUGCCCGGUGCUGGAAGGUUAAGGAGAGGGGUUAGCGUAAGCGAAGCUCUGAACUGAAGCCCCAGUAAACGGCGGCCGUAACUAUAACGGUCCUAAGGUAGCGAAAUUCCUUGUCGGGUAAGUUCCGACCCGCACGAAAGGUGUAACGAUUUGGGCACUGUCUCAACCAGAGACUCGGUGAAAUUAUAGUACCUGUGAAGAUGCAGGUUACCCGCGACAGGACGGAAAGACCCCGUGGAGCUUUACUGUAGCCUGAUAUUGAAUUUUGGUACAGUUUGUACAGGAUAGGCGGGAGCCUUUGAAACCGGAGCGCUAGCUUCGGUGGAGGCGCUGGUGGGAUACCGCCCUGACUGUAUUGAAAUUCUAACCUACGGGUCUUAUCGACCCGGGAGACAGUGUCAGGUGGGCAGUUUGACUGGGGCGGUCGCCUCCUAAAGUGUAACGGAGGCGCCCAAAGGUUCCCUCAGAAUGGUUGGAAAUCAUUCGUAGAGUGCAAAGGCAUAAGGGAGCUUGACUGCGAGACCUACAAGUCGAGCAGGGACGAAAGUCGGGCUUAGUGAUCCGGUGGUUCCGCAUGGAAGGGCCAUCGCUCAACGGAUAAAAGCUACCCCGGGGAUAACAGGCUUAUCUCCCCCAAGAGUCCACAUCGACGGGGAGGUUUGGCACCUCGAUGUCGGCUCAUCGCAUCCUGGGGCUGUAGUCGGUCCCAAGGGUUGGGCUGUUCGCCCAUUAAAGCGGUACGCGAGCUGGGUUCAGAACGUCGUGAGACAGUUCGGUCCCUAUCCGUCGUGGGCGUAGGAAAUUUGAGAGGAGCUGUCCUUAGUACGAGAGGACCGGGAUGGACGCACCGCUGGUGUACCAGUUGUUCUGCCAAGGGCAUAGCUGGGUAGCUAUGUGCGGAAGGGAUAAGUGCUGAAAGCAUCUAAGCAUGAAGCCCCCCUCAAGAUGAGAUUUCCCAUAGCGUAAGCUAGUAAGAUCCCUGAAAGAUGAUCAGGUUGAUAGGUUCGAGGUGGAAGCAUGGUGACAUGUGGAGCUGACGAAUACUAAUAGAUCGAGGACUUAACCAU
RNAcentral lists this ribosomal RNA (2318 nucleotides) under Bacillus anthracis (anthrax bacterium). RNAcentral describes it as "partial 23S ribosomal RNA". It matches the Rfam family "Bacterial large subunit ribosomal RNA", at positions 601 to 2925 of the family's 2925-position model. Lineage: Bacteria; Bacillati; Bacillota; Bacilli; Caryophanales; Bacillaceae. The record is from RNAcentral.